CUGGGUCUAAAGUCCAAUAAAGUAAACAACCCACUUAACAAAUAACUCCAGCCAUACUAAUUAAAAUAAAGGGCAGCCCAAUCAAACUUAGAAUUCGGCCCAAAUAAGUCCCUUCAUGUGUAAACACAAGGUUGAACAGCCGAUAUCUCAUUCCCUGUCGCUCAUUCUCAAUUCUGCACAAAAUAGAACACCUUUAUCUCUCUCUUCGAUCGGUCUCCGGUGAAGCUGUCGCCGCCGUCCGCCCUUGCGCCGGCGUCGCUCCGCCUGAGUCCGACGCCUCUCCCUCUUCUCUUCUCCUCUUUAAAUUUCUCUAUCCAGCCUACCCAAAUCGAGCCCAAGCUCUUCAAAAUAGGUUACCGUCGCCGCUGUAAUCACUGAGUUCCGGCGAACGCCGGCUGUCUCUCCGUCUGCCAUCUUCUCUCUCUCUAUGUCUCUCCUCUUAAUUACAUAUGUUCGAGGAGAAAGAGGCGAGCCCUAAUUUCUCCUCCACCAGAAAUCGUCACCGUCGCCGUCACUGAGGCAGCGAUCGGGGCCGCUGCUGCCGCCGUUUCUGAGGUCGGGCGAGGCCAUAGACGUAACUUCCUCAUUGGUUCUCUCUCUUUUCAACUCAAGGGAAGAGGUCUUCUUCUAGGACCGAGCCCUAGCUCUUCGUCCUUAGAAAUUUUCACCGCUCUGCUAUUUCUGGCAAAGUCAACGCUGCACCCUGACUCCGGCGCCGCCCUCCCCUUCUUCGACUCUAUUAUCUCUCUUCCCUUUUUCCUUUCAAAAUUGAGCUAAGCUCUUCUCUCUUGCCGUCAUAGGUCCGCUGCGGACAGGUGAACCACUGCCGCUGCUCUUCCGAGCGUUGGCGAAACCAUCGCGGCUCUGGUUCGGCCCGCCGUUGGCUCCGGGUUCACGAAUCGCUGCUGAAAUCUGGACGAAUCGGCGAGGGUCGUCGUCUUCCUUCUAACUCGAUGGGGAUGGGGCAGUCAGCCGAUUCCUUCCUAAAAGCUAAGUUCUCUCUAUGGUUAUCACAUUCUAAUAAUCUCAGUUUGUUUCCGACUAUGCAAUUAUACUGCUAUGCAUCAUUCUAUCUAACUACAAAACAUGGUUGCUAUGGGUGAUCCAUUAUGCAUAUAUAUAUAAAGGUCCUCUGUUGUUUAUAAAACUGAUCAUGUUGUUGAUAUGAAUGCGGACUGAAUUGAGUAUCUGGGGUAGCAAUAAUACCUUGAGUAUUUUGUUGGUUCGCUAUCGUUGGAGUUUGGAAUGAAGCUGAUAGGAUCUGCAAUAGAAUUAUAUGCUGUUUCUGUUAAUAAUGCAGGGGAAAGAUCAUGGCAGGAGGUGGAAGAAGUAAAAGCCAAAGCUUACCUUGAGAAUUUGGCGGAAGUAAUAAUGGAGGAUUCCUCCUCUUCGGUAAUUUCCUUAGUGAAGAAAUGAGAGUGAAAUCAGUGUUUAUUGGCUGAAGUUGUAGGUUGUUGGCUAUGAACUUGAGUGUGCUAGUGAGAUGGUACGAAAGUAGGGUGGCUGACUUUGACCACCUGCUGGUGAAGCAGCUCCAGCUGCAAAGGUGAGAUGGGACGGUACAGCUACAGAUGAGGGAGGGAGGGAGUUGCUGUUGCAGCUGUUCUUCUCCUUUUUUCUCUUUACUUCUUUUUCUUUUAUUCAUCCAGAUGAUGCAAUAGGUAGGUUGUAAAAUAUAGUGAUGUGAUGAAUAAAAUCCCUUUGUCUUGGUAAAACUGUAUAGAUAAAUCUAAUUCGGGUCUGCUAAAUAAAGAUGCUUCAUUAUAAAUCUCUAAG
RNAcentral lists this long non-coding RNA (1776 nucleotides) under Salvia miltiorrhiza (redroot sage). RNAcentral describes it as "long non-coding RNA (SMIL_LNC001545)". Lineage: Eukaryota; Viridiplantae; Streptophyta; Magnoliopsida; Lamiales; Lamiaceae. The record is from RNAcentral.